Long non-coding RNA from Octopus bimaculoides (California two-spot octopus), 1324 nucleotides. NCBI's taxonomy places the organism in Eukaryota, Metazoa, Mollusca, Cephalopoda, Octopoda, Octopodidae. The record is from RefSeq and is a predicted model, not a curated record.
CGAAUCAAUUUUGAGGAAAGAUAGAAUGCCGUGUGCUAAGUAUAUAUGAACGUCUCAGAAAUUAAGGUAUAACUCUCUGGUUGAGAUCUACUAUAGAUUUAUUGUUAAAACCACUGCCGACUCUGACGUACCACCGGAUAGCGACCACCACAAUGGAUUUCGCACAAUUUUCCAGGAACAUUUCGCGACGUUACUCCAUUUCUUCUCUCAUAGCUUUUGGAUUGCUUCUCGUUCUAUCCUCAGAAUUCAAGGAUAAGGAAAAUGGAGCAGAAAUCAGAACAAUACCUGCCACCUCUGAUACUGCAUAUCUAAACCAACUUUCCAUCUGGUACUUUACAACUCUACCCAACUAUUAAUACAAUAAUCCACCAAUGCGUUUCGUCACUACACGCAAGAAUGGCCUGUCGGCAAUAAAAUAUUAUUUCUUCUGUUUGAAAAUAGGAAUCAUUCCCGAAAUAUUGUAGGAUCAUUGAACAAUCUAUGUUAAGGAUUAGACAUGCCAUUUACUGCAACAGAAAAGGCAUUUUGUGUAUUGAAGUAGGACCAAACUCAGUCAAAUUUGAAUAUGCAACAUGUAUUUGUUAGAUUUCAUUAACAAGCGUCAACGGGAAAGCAGAUUUGGAUGUGGUAUAAUAAGUUUCAAAAGGAAGGCUGUGUCGGAAAACAGGAUCUGGACAGCCAGCAGUUUCAGAAGAAAUGGUGAACCAACUUCAAGAAAUACAUUCUCUUUCAGUGCUUUUUACUGCUCUUGUUUAAUUGUUGGUUUUUCCCUUUUAGGAUUACCAUUGUGUUUUGAACUGUUAUACAACGUUUGCUGUUUUCUGUGUCUUUUGGACACAUUGCCUGCUUUAGCAGGUUUGUUUUUUGUGAAAAUUCCCCCUAUUUGGGGGCGAAUUGUUUUCCUUUGAGGAAAAGCUUUUUACACACUCAGUACAUGGAAGUUGACACCUCCCAAUAUGUAAUUCCAGACUACUCCUUCCUCCCAUUUUGCCAAAUAAAGGAAGAGGAAAACAUACCAGAGAAUGAUAAAACCGAGGAGAGUAAGAAAAAGUUUUUUUAGCUGAUUUAUUUUAUUUAGACUUUUAGUCACAUGAUACGCUUUACAAUUUUUAGUUGAUUGUAUAUAGCUUCUUGAUAGGCCAUUCUAUAUAUCUGUAUUUUUAUUCGCAUAUAUAUAUAUAUAUAUAUAUAUAUAUAUAUAUUUUUACCUUGUGUUUUUUAUAUAUGUACACUUUAUAUGUUUAAGGGCCAUGGUAAUAUUUAUAUACAUGAACAAAUGUUUGGAGGUGUGGUGUUAUAUAUAAAGUCGUUGACUCAAAUGUGA